GCCGUGGUGGUGUAGUUUGGCAGCAUGUGGGACUGUGGAUCCCUUGGCUCGGGUUCAAAUCCCGACCACGGCC
RNAcentral lists this transfer RNA (73 nucleotides) under Thermoplasmatota archaeon. RNAcentral's name for it is "tRNA-His". It matches the Rfam family "tRNA". From Rfam's summary of the family: Transfer RNA (tRNA) molecules are approximately 80 nucleotides in length. Their secondary structure includes four short double-helical elements and three loops (D, anti-codon, and T loops). Lineage: Archaea; Methanobacteriati; Thermoplasmatota. The record is from RNAcentral.